UAUUAUUCCAAGAUAAAUUUUUACUGUGGUUAGUAAUAGAUAUUUACUUAAAAGCUAAAAAAUUUGGCGGUAAUUUAAUCUUCCCAGAGGAACUUGUUUUUUAAUCGAUAAACCGCGAAUUAUUUCACUUACUUUAAUAAAGUUUGUAUACCGUCAUUAUCAGGUAAUUUUAAAAAAAUAAAUUUCUUAGUUUAAGAGUUUACGAAAAUUAGAUCAUGGUGCASCUUAUAGGUAAGUUAAAAUGAGUUACAAUAAAUUACUUUAUAUGAAUAAUUAAAAGAAUUUUUAAUUUGAAGGAGGAUUUGGUAGUAUUCUAAGUUUAAUAUGCUUAGUAAAUGUCACCUCUAAAUUAUGUACAUAU
Molecule: ribosomal RNA, 361 nt
Filed under: Pinnixa abbotti
Lineage: Eukaryota; Metazoa; Arthropoda; Malacostraca; Decapoda; Pinnotheridae
Description: partial 12S ribosomal RNA
Source: RNAcentral